AGCUUUGCGCAGUGGCAGUAUUGUAGCCGAUGAGGUUUAUCCAAGGUGCUAUUAUUGCUAAUUAAAAAUUUUUAAAAUGCUCAUUCUUAGGCUAUUGGUAAUCCAUUUUUUAAAUUUAUUUCCACUUUUGAUGUCAGCUGCUCAAAUUCCAUGAAAAAUA
This is a small nuclear RNA of Oryctolagus cuniculus (rabbit), 160 nucleotides long. Its record names the gene U4. It matches the Rfam family "U4 spliceosomal RNA". Rfam says of the family: U4 small nuclear RNA (U4 snRNA) is a component of the major U2-dependent spliceosome. The record is from Ensembl. NCBI's taxonomy places the organism in Eukaryota, Metazoa, Chordata, Mammalia, Lagomorpha, Leporidae.